This 253-nucleotide ribosomal RNA is filed under the name uncultured bacterium. RNAcentral describes it as "partial 16S ribosomal RNA". It matches the Rfam family "Bacterial small subunit ribosomal RNA", at positions 524 to 776 of the family's 1533-position model. The record is from RNAcentral.
UACGGAGGGUGCAAGCGUUAUCCGGAUUCACUGGGUUUAAAGGGUGCGUAGGCGGUCUUGUAAGUCAGUGCUGAAAUAUCCCGGCUUAACCGGGAGGGUGGCAUUGAUACUGCAGGACUUGAGUGAAGUCGAGGUAGGCGGAAUUGACGGUGUAGCGGUGAAAUGCUUAGAUAUCGUCAAGAACACCGAUAGUGAAGACAGCUUACUAGACUUCAACUGACGCUGAGGCACGAAAGUGUGGGGAUCAAACAGG